This 497-nucleotide ribosomal RNA is filed under the name uncultured bacterium. RNAcentral describes it as "partial 16S ribosomal RNA". It matches the Rfam family "Bacterial small subunit ribosomal RNA", at positions 28 to 507 of the family's 1533-position model. The record is from RNAcentral.
GAUGAACGCUGGCGGCGUGCCUAAUACAUGCAAGUCGAGCGAACGGACGAGAAGCUUGCUUCUCUGAUGUUAGCGGCGGACGGGUGAGUAACACGUGGAUAACCUACCUAUAAGGCUGGGAUAACUUCGGGAAACCGGAGCUAAUACCGGAUGAUAUUUUGAACCGCAUGGUUCAAAAGUGAAAGACGGUCUUGCUGUCACUUAUAGAUGGAUCCGCGCUGCAUUAGCUAGUUGGUAAGGUAACGGCUUACCAAGGCAACGAUGCAUAGCCGACCUGAGAGGGUGAUCGGCCACACUGGAACUGAGACACGGUCCAGACUCCUACGGGAGGCAGCAGUAGGGAAUCUUCCGCAAUGGGCGAAAGCCUGACGGAGCAACGCCGCGUGAGUGAUGAAGGUCUUCGGAUCGUAAAACUCUGUUAUUAGGGAAGAACAUAUGUGUAAGUAACUGUGCACAUCUUGACGGUACCUAAUCAGAAAGCCGCGGCUAACUACGUG